This 374-nucleotide ribosomal RNA is filed under the name uncultured organism. RNAcentral's name for it is "partial 16S ribosomal RNA". It matches the Rfam family "Bacterial small subunit ribosomal RNA", at positions 527 to 896 of the family's 1533-position model. The record is from RNAcentral.
GUAGGUGGCAAGCGUUGUCCGGAAUUAUUGGGGCGUGAAGCGCGCGCAGGUGGUUCUUUAAGUCUGAUGUGAAAGCCCCCGGGCUCAACCGGGGAGGGUCAUUGGAAACUGGGGAACUUGAGUGCAGGAGAGGAAAGUGGAACUCCACGUGUAGCGGUGAAAUGCGUAGAUAUGUGGAGGAACACCAGUGGCGAAGGCGACUUUCUGGCCUGUAACUGACACUGAGGCGCGAAAGCGUGGGGAGCAAACAGGAUUAGAUACCCUGGUAGUCCACGCCGUAAACGAUGAGUGCUAAGUGUUGGGGGGUUUCCGCCCCUCAGUGCUGCAGCUAACGCAUUAAGCACUCCGCCUGGGGAGUACGGUCGCAAAGACUG